AUUCUCUCCAGCUUUGGCCCAGGGUUGACCAGGUUUUCUUCGUUCUACCUCAGCAUCCAGUUGGGGCUCUUUUCCUGCUGGACCGGUUGAUUGCAGGCUGCCCUCUCUCUGAGCUGGGGCUCCUCUUUCACCUGCGCUGCUUGGGAAACAAAAACUUUACAAAGAUUCCUUCUGAUGCUUCACACAGGCGCUGCGCUCUCGCCUUCUUCUAGAUUCUAAAGGGCAGAAUAAUGCUACAAACAGCAGGCAGCUGUAUUUCUACAUGCCAGUCCAACAUGGUGACAGCCGCAUCAGACAGCCGAGAAGCUGAAGCCGUCAGUCUACGGCCCCGGCAUACCCAGAGCCUAUUAGGCUCUCAUCUGAUGGGUUACCACACUUAUUUUCUUUCAUUCUAUUAUUUUGACAACACCCAGCUAGGCUGCUUCUCCCCCUUGCAGCUCCUGCCCAGCCGGCCAGGCAGGUCUGACGAUGGAGAUACCUGCUUCCACACGGGAAGAAACUCUGAGUUCACAGACAGGUGCCCCAGGAGCAAGUCCCAGCUCUCUGUCCGCUUGUUUGGGGCACUUGAGUGGCCACUUAGCUUUGCUGAGCCUCACACUCUCCUCCUGUAAAAUGGAGCUAAUACACCUCUGUCACAGAGCCACUGUCAGUCUCUAAUGAAAUAAAGCUUGUGAUGUGUUC
This is a long non-coding RNA of Bos taurus (domestic cattle), 681 nucleotides long. Lineage: Eukaryota; Metazoa; Chordata; Mammalia; Artiodactyla; Bovidae. The record is from Ensembl.